RNAcentral lists this ribosomal RNA (564 nucleotides) under Glyptothorax manipurensis. Its description in RNAcentral is "partial 16S ribosomal RNA". It matches the Rfam family "Bacterial large subunit ribosomal RNA", at positions 1851 to 2619 of the family's 2925-position model. The record is from RNAcentral. Lineage: Eukaryota; Metazoa; Chordata; Actinopteri; Siluriformes; Sisoridae.
GGUCUUACCUGCCCAGUGACAAUGUUAAACGGCCGCGGUAUUUUGACCGUGCGAAGGUAGCGCAAUCACUUGUCUUUUAAAUGAAGACCUGUAUGAAUGGUGAAACGAGGGCUUAACUGUCUCCCUUUUCUAGUCAAUGAAAUUGAUCUGCCCGUGCAGAAGCGGACAUAACAAUACAAGACGAGAAGACCCUUUGGAGCUUAAGAUAUAAAGAUCAUCUAUGUCAAUGGGCCCCAACACGGCAACAAACUAAAUAGCAAUUGAUCUUAAUCUUCGGUUGGGGCGACCACGGGAGAAAAUAAAGCUCCCACGCGGACUGGGGUAAACCCUAAAACUAAGAAAAACAUUUCUAAGUAACAGAACUUCUGACCAUUAAGAUCCGGCUAAACGCCGACCAACGGACCAAGUUACCCUAGGGAUAACAGCGCAAUCCCCUUUCAGAGUCCAUAUCGACAAGGGGGUUUACGACCUCGAUGUUGGAUCAGGACAUCCUAAUGGUGCAGCCGCUAUUAAGGGUUCGUUUGUUCAACGAUUAAAGUCCUACGUGAUCUGAGUUCAGACCGG